RNAcentral lists this ribosomal RNA (254 nucleotides) under uncultured bacterium. RNAcentral describes it as "partial 16S ribosomal RNA". It matches the Rfam family "Bacterial small subunit ribosomal RNA", at positions 524 to 776 of the family's 1533-position model. The record is from RNAcentral.
UACAGGGGGGGCAAGCGUUGUUCGGAAUUACUGGGCGUAAAGGGCUCGUAGGUGGCCAACUAAGUCAGACGUGAAAUCCCUCAGCUUAACUGGGGAACUGCGUCUGAUACUGGAUGGCUUGAGUUUGGGAGAGGGAUGCGGAAUUCCAGGUGUAGCGGUGAAAUGCGUAGAUAUCUGGAGGAACACCGGUGGCGAAGGCGGCAUCCUGGACCAAUUCUGACGCUGAGUGAGCGAAAGCCAGGGGAGCAAACGGG